UUGCACCGAGAUUCAACAUGGAACGAGUGGCGGACGGGUGAGUAACACGUGGGUAACCUGCCCUUAAGUGGGGGAUAACAUUUGGAAACAGAUGCUAAUACCGCAUAGAUCCAAGAACCGCAUGGUUCUUGGCUGAAAGAUGGCGUAAGCUAUCGCUUUUGGAUGGACCCGCGGCGUAUUAGCUAGUUGGUGAGGUAAUGGCUCACCAAGGCGAUGAUACGUAGCCGAACUGAGAGGUUGAUCGGCCACAUUGGGACUGAGACACGGCCCAAACUCCUACGGGAGGCAGCAGUAGGGAAUCUUCCACAAUGGACGCAAGUCUGAUGGAGCAACGCCGCGUGAGUGAAGAAGGCUUUCGGGUCGUAAAACUCUGUUGUUGGAGAAGAAUGGUCGGCAGAGUAACUGUUGCCGGCGUGACGGUAUCCAACCAGAAAGCCACGGCUAACUACGUGCCAGCAGCCGCGGUAAUACGUAGGUG
RNAcentral lists this ribosomal RNA (478 nucleotides) under Lacticaseibacillus paracasei. RNAcentral's name for it is "bacterial SSU rRNA". It matches the Rfam family "Bacterial small subunit ribosomal RNA", at positions 68 to 533 of the family's 1533-position model. Lineage: Bacteria; Bacillati; Bacillota; Bacilli; Lactobacillales; Lactobacillaceae. The record is from RNAcentral.